AGAAUCAACGCUGGCGGCGUGCCUAACACAUGCAAGUCGAACGAGAAAGUGGAGCAAUCCAUGAGUAAAGUGGCGCACGGGUGAGUAACACGUGACUAACCUACCCUUGAGUGGGGGAUAAACCUAGAGAAAUCUGGGCUAAUACCGCAUAAUACCUUCGGGUCAAAGGAGCAAUUCGCUUAAGGAGGGGGUCGCGGCCGAUUAGUUAGUUGGCGGGGUAAUGGCCCACCAAGACUGUGAUCGGUAUCCGGCCUGAGAGGGCGCACGGACACACUGGAACUGAAACACGGUCCAGACUCCUACGGGAGGCAGCAGUGGGAAUUUUGCGCAAUGGGGGAAACCCUGACGCAGCAACGCCGCGUGGAGGAUGAAGCCCUUGGGGCGUAAACUCCUUUCGAUCGGGAAGAUAAUGACGGUACCGAGAGAAGAAGCCCGGCUAACUUCGCGCCAGCAGCCGC
Molecule: ribosomal RNA, 458 nt
Filed under: uncultured bacterium
Lineage: Bacteria
Description: SSU rRNA
Rfam family: Bacterial small subunit ribosomal RNA
Source: RNAcentral